This 1182-nucleotide long non-coding RNA is filed under the name Sus scrofa (pig). RNAcentral's name for it is "lncRNA (ENSSSCG00070001140.1)". The record is from RNAcentral. Lineage: Eukaryota; Metazoa; Chordata; Mammalia; Artiodactyla; Suidae.
AACAAAAAACUCUUUUUUUUUUUUGCACACACAUGCAAGCACACUCCUGCUCUCACCUGAGGCUUUGGGAGAUCUGAAGGUAUCUUUCCCUGAUUCAUUCCUCCUCACUGUCUUUCUUGGUCAGGUCAUUUUUGCUUGUGAGUGAUAGAGAACCCAACCCCAACUGGCUUAUGCAACAAAGGGAAUGUUUUGGCCCUCAUAACAUAAAAGUUGGAGUGCAGUCUUCAGGCAUAACUGGAUCAAGGAUUCAAUGAAGUCUUCAAGACCCCAGUUUCUCUCUCUCUCUGCUUAGGGUCUGGCUUUAAUCUCCAGCUCAGCUUGGGAUCCUCAGACACUCUGAAUUUCCCUCUGCGGUGGCAAGAUGCCUGCUAUACCUCAUGUUUCCACACCCUAGGGGUCACUUUAGAAGGAAGAUCUGGAUGAUAUUGAACAUCAUUGGCUAGAAUUACAUCAGAUACCCCUUUGCAGGCCAACCACUACACUUGGGGCAUGGAAUGAACUGAUUGGCUGAGAUCCCAGACACUGCCCACGCCUGGAGCCCCUGAGACAAGGAUGAGCAGAUGCUGCCAAGUCAAACCUCAGAAGUCCUCUGUGGUCACACCAGGAUGCAGGACGUGGGAGGACGUGGGCAGAUCCUGUGGGCAGGAUCCCAUGGCCCAGGGCAGCCAGGGCUCCAGCCUGUCCACUGCAGACCUGGUCAAAGAGGAGGCCAGCCCCCAGCUCUGGAGGGCAGAGAAUUUCACAAACUCCUUGCCUGGCCACCUGCAUCCAGUUCCCAACCAGACUCCUGUGGAGGCAGCCUUCAUGGCCAAGGUCAGAAGAGCCCCUGCCUGGAACUUCUCAGCCGUCUUCACCUCUUCUUGGAGCCGUGGGCUCAACCCUGACUCAUUGGUGGGACCCUGGCAAGUUGCUCGGUGAAUGAACUCACAGGCAUUGAAGUUUUGAUCUGUGUGUUUAUCUCCCACUCACCCACCUCUGCACUAACCGAAUUCUUCUCCUUGCCCUGAGGGUGUCUUUCCUCUUCCAGCCUCCACAGCUAAGCGUGAGUCACUUGCUGCAGAACCAGACCUCCAGGCUGCAAAGGCUCACUGGCCCAGGAUGAUGGAGGAAGAUGCUGCUGGAUGUGGGCUUUCAUGUUGGCUGGGUCUGGGGAAGAAUAAAGGUAGGAGGGGCUGAGAGCCA